This 248-nucleotide unclassified non-coding RNA is filed under the name Hevea brasiliensis (rubber tree). Lineage: Eukaryota; Viridiplantae; Streptophyta; Magnoliopsida; Malpighiales; Euphorbiaceae. The record is from RNAcentral.
CAACGUAAAGCUCUUCUUCAGAUUAGACGGUAGAGCGUUGUUUCUGAUCUUCAUAUUCUUAAUAUUCGGAUCUUCUUAUCGAUUUGAGUUUGUUGCAGAUAAUUAUACUCUUGAUUGUAGAUAAAGCAGAUGGCUUUAGUUGCGGGACAGAGAUCCACACUGAAUCCGAAUGCUCCGCUCUUCAUUCCGGCGGUGUACCGUCAAGUGGAGGAUUUUUCUCCGGAGUGGUGGGAGCUGGUGAAAACUUC